GCUACAUGCUUUAGCAGAAUUCAGGAUACUGGAUGGCUUUGUCUGAAACCUGAAACUUCUUUAUUUGAAAAGUGUUACUGUAAUAUUCCUCCAACAUUAUAAUCUAGACGCCUGCUGGUCCUAUUCUGCAAGGCUGAAGCUGCCUACCACCUUUGACACUGUGCCAUGAUCUUUCCUCUUUGAAGGGAGUGCUGGAAGUGGGAAAUCCCUCAAAAUAAUCUAUUAUCGGAGUUGUCACUUAAAUGGAAGUGAGAAGCAAGUUGAGUUUCUAAAUCUGUCCACUCCAGAAACUGUAGGAAUUGUGGGAAGUAAUUGUGUAUGACAUAAACAUGUGUUCACAAGUAA
This is a long non-coding RNA of Strigops habroptila (Kakapo), 345 nucleotides long. RefSeq lists it as uncharacterized. The transcript has 2 exons. The record is from RefSeq and is a predicted model, not a curated record. Lineage: Eukaryota; Metazoa; Chordata; Aves; Psittaciformes; Psittacidae.